AUGAAACACUCCUACGGGAGGCAGCAGUGAGGAAUAUUGGUCAAUGGGCGAGAGCCUGAACCAGCCAAGUAGCGUGCAGGAUGACGGCCCUAUGGGUUGUAAACUGCUUUUAUAGGGGAAUAAAGAACGGUACGUGUACCGUAGUGAAUGUACCCUACGAAUAAGCAUCGGCUAACUCCGUGCCAGCAGCCGCGGUAAUACGGAGGAUGCGAGCGUUAUCCGGAUUUAUUGGGUUUAAAGGGUGGGUAGGCGGCCUGUUAAGUCAGCGGUGAAAUCUAGGAGCUUAACUCCUAAAUUGCCAUUGAUACUGCCGGGCUUGAGUGUAGAUGAGGUAGGCGGAAUGCGUGGUGUAGCGGUGGAAUGCAUAGAUAUCACGCAGAACUCCGAUUGCGAAGGCAGCUUACUAAGGUACAACUGACGCUGAAGCACGAAAGCGUGGGUAUCAAACAGGAUUAGAAACCCCUGUAGUCCGAAGUUC
Molecule: ribosomal RNA, 478 nt
Filed under: uncultured bacterium
Lineage: Bacteria
Description: bacterial SSU rRNA
Rfam family: Bacterial small subunit ribosomal RNA
Source: RNAcentral